Non-coding RNA from Sphaerulina musiva SO2202, 103 nucleotides. Lineage: Eukaryota; Fungi; Ascomycota; Dothideomycetes; Mycosphaerellales; Mycosphaerellaceae. The record is from the annotation of a RefSeq genome assembly.
GGCCUCUUGGUCUAGUGGUAUGAUUGUCGCUUCGGGUUCUCCCAGCAGAGGUUCACUCUUGCUCGUCUGUGACAGGCCCCGGGUUCGAAUCCCGGAGAGGCCC